Molecule: ribosomal RNA, 2857 nt
Filed under: Salmonella enterica subsp. enterica serovar Enteritidis
Lineage: Bacteria; Pseudomonadati; Pseudomonadota; Gammaproteobacteria; Enterobacterales; Enterobacteriaceae
Description: bacterial LSU rRNA
Rfam family: Bacterial large subunit ribosomal RNA
Source: RNAcentral
GGGUUGUGAGGUUAAGCGACUAAGCGUACACGGUGGAUGCCCUGGCAGUCAGAGGCGAUGAAGGGCGUGCUAAUCUGCGAUAAGCGCCGGUAAGGUGAUAUGAACCGUUAUAACCGGCGAUACCCGAAUGGGGAAACCCAGUGUGAUUCGUCACACUAUCAUUAACUGAAUCCAUAGGUUAAUGAGGCGAACCGGGGGAACUGAAACAUCUAAGUACCCCGAGGAAAAGAAAUCAACCGAGAUUCCCCCAGUAGCGGCGAGCGAACGGGGAGGAGCCCAGAGCCUGAAUCAGCAUGUGUGUUAGUGGAAGCGUCUGGAAAGGCGCGCGAUACAGGGUGACAGCCCCGUACACAAAAGCGCAUGUGCUGUGAGCUCGAUGAGUAGGGCGGGACACGUGGUAUCCUGUCUGAAUAUGGGGGGACCAUCCUCCAAGGCUAAAUACUCCUGACUGACCGAUAGUGAACCAGUACCGUGAGGGAAAGGCGAAAAGAACCCCGGCGAGGGGAGUGAAAAAGAACCUGAAACCGUGUACGUACAAGCAGUGGGAGCNNNNNNNNNNNNNNNNNNNNNNNNNNNNNNNNNNNNNNNGCGUUAAGUUGCAGGGUAUAGACCCGAAACCCGGUGAUCUAGCCAUGGGCAGGUUGAAGGUUGGGUAACACUAACUGGAGGACCGAACCGACUAAUGUUGAAAAAUUAGCGGAUGACCUGUGGCUGGGGGUGAAAGGCCAAUCAAACCGGGAGAUAGCUGGUUCUCCCCGAAAGCUAUUUAGGUAGCGCCUCGUGAAUUCAUCUCCGGGGGUAGAGCACUGUUUCGGCUAGGGGGCCAUCCCGGCUUACCAACCCGAUGCAAACUGCGAAUACCGGAGAAUGUUAUCACGGGAGACACACGGCGGGUGCUAACGUCCGUCGUGAAGAGGGAAACAACCCAGACCGCCAGCUAAGGUCCCAAAGUCAUGGUUAAGUGGGAAACGAUGUGGGAAGGCCCAGACAGCCAGGAUGUUGGCUUAGAAGCAGCCAUCAUUUAAAGAAAGCGUAAUAGCUCACUGGUCGAGUCGGCCUGCGCGGAAGAUGUAACGGGGCUAAACCAUGCACCGAAGCUGCGGCAGCGACACUGUGUGUUGUUGGGUAGGGGAGCGUUCUGUAAGCCUGCGAAGGUGGCCUGUGAGGGUUGCUGGAGGUAUCAGAAGUGCGAAUGCUGACAUAAGUAACGAUAAAGCGGGUGAAAAGCCCGCUCGCCGGAAGACCAAGGGUUCCUGUCCAACGUUAAUCGGGGCAGGGUGAGUCGACCCCUAAGGCGAGGCCGAAAGGCGUAGUCGAUGGGAAACGGGUUAAUAUUCCCGUACUUGGUGUUACUGCGAAGGGGGGACGGAGAAGGCUAUGUUGGCCGGGCGACGGUUGUCCCGGUUUAAGCGUGUAGGUGUGUGUUCCAGGUAAAUCCGGUUCACUUUAACACUGAGGCGUGACGACGAGGCACUACGGUGCUGAAGCAACAAAUGCCCUGCUUCCAGGAAAAGCCUCUAAGCAUCAGGUAACAUCAAAUCGUACCCCAAACCGACACAGGUGGUCAGGUAGAGAAUACCAAGGCGCUUGAGAGAACUCGGGUGAAGGAACUAGGCAAAAUGGUGCCGUAACUUCGGGAGAAGGCACGCUGACACGUAGGUGAAGUGAUUUACUCAUGGAGCUGAAGUCAGUCGAAGAUACCAGCUGGCUGCAACUGUUUAUUAAAAACACAGCACUGUGCAAACACGAAAGUGGACGUAUACGGUGUGACGCCUGCCCGGUGCCGGAAGGUUAAUUGAUGGGGUCAGCGCAAGCGAAGCUCCUGAUCGAAGCCCCGGUAAACGGCGGCCGUAACUAUAACGGUCCUAAGGUAGCGAAAUUCCUUGUCGGGUAAGUUCCGACCUGCACGAAUGGCGUAAUGAUGGCCAGGCUGUCUCCACCCGAGACUCAGUGAAAUUGAACUCGCUGUGAAGAUGCAGUGUACCCGCGGCAAGACGGAAAGACCCCGUGAACCUUUACUAUAGCUUGACACUGAACAUUGAGCCUUGAUGUGUAGGAUAGGUGGGAGGCUUUGAAGUGUGGACGCCAGUCUGCAUGGAGCCGACCUUGAAAUACCACCCUUUAAUGUUUGAUGUUCUAACGUGGACCCGUUACCCGGGUUGCGGACAGUGUCUGGUGGGUAGUUUGACUGGGGCGGUCUCCUCCUAAAGAGUAACGGAGGAGCACGAAGGUUGGCUAAUCCUGGUCGGACAUCAGGAGGUUAGUGCAAUGGCAUAAGCCAGCUUGACUGCGAGCGUGACGGCGCGAGCAGGUGCGAAAGCAGGUCAUAGUGAUCCGGUGGUUCUGAAUGGAAGGGCCAUCGCUCAACGGAUAAAAGGUACUCCGGGGAUAACAGGCUGAUACCGCCCAAGAGUUCAUAUCGACGGCGGUGUUUGGCACCUCGAUGUCGGCUCAUCACAUCCUGGGGCUGAAGUAGGUCCCAAGGGUAUGGCUGUUCGCCAUUUAAAGUGGUACGCGAGCUGGGUUUAGAACGUCGUGAGACAGUUCGGUCCCUAUCUGCCGUGGGCGCUGGAGAACUGAGGGGGGCUGCUCCUAGUACGAGAGGACCGGAGUGGACGCAUCACUGGUGUUCGGGUUGUCAUGCCAAUGGCACUGCCCGGUAGCUAAAUGCGGAAGAGAUAAGUGCUGAAAGCAUCUAAGCACGAAACUUGCCCCGAGAUGAGUUCUCCCUGAGACUUAGAGUCUCCUGAAGGAACGUUGAAGACGACGACGUUGAUAGGCCGGGUGUGUAAGCGCAGCGAUGCGUUGAGCUAACCGGUACUAAUGAACCGUGAGGCUUAACCUUACAACGCCGAAG